AUAAUUAAAAGAAACUAUCCUCUCUUUCUAUAUUCCUCUUGCAAGAUCUGAACUCAUCCCUCUCUCUAUAACCAUCCUCUCUGUCUCUGUUCUCUCUUUAUAUCACAGAUCUAAGGGUGGAUGUGGCGGGUUGUGGAUUUGGUUGCAGGUGGGUGGGUGUCAUGGGCGGCGGUGGCCGGUGGGUGUUAGGGGCGGCGGUGGCCGGUGGGUGCUAGGGGCGGCAGUGGCCGGUGGGUGUUAGGGGCGGUAGUGGUGGGUGGGUGUUUGCAACCAUGUGUAGAGGUUCCCAUCAUCUGCCCCAACUGUGUGUGUUUUGUAUUUGGUAUUUAAUGGUGGUGGUGGGAGGUGUUUCACUCGCCACCGGAGACGCCGGUAUUUCAAUCGCCACCGGAGACGGCGGAGAAGAAACUUCUGUUUUUGAGAUAUUUUACUUUUUAGGUCAGUGAUUGUUUAAUUGUUUAGGUUAUUUCACAAUUUUAUUGAAACUAAAUAUUCAUAUGUGAAUAACAACAGUUAUUGAUAUUUUACUAUGUUUUUGAGAUA
Long non-coding RNA from Helianthus annuus (common sunflower), 543 nucleotides. RefSeq lists it as uncharacterized. The transcript has 2 exons. Lineage: Eukaryota; Viridiplantae; Streptophyta; Magnoliopsida; Asterales; Asteraceae. The record is from RefSeq and is a predicted model, not a curated record.